RNAcentral lists this ribosomal RNA (200 nucleotides) under uncultured bacterium. RNAcentral describes it as "partial 16S ribosomal RNA". It matches the Rfam family "Bacterial small subunit ribosomal RNA", at positions 8 to 208 of the family's 1533-position model. The record is from RNAcentral.
AGAGUUUGAUCAUGGCUCAGGACGAACGCUGGCGGCGUGCUUAACACAUGCAAGUCGAACGGAAAGGUCUCUUCGGAGACACUCGAGUGGCGAACGGGUGAGUAACACGUGGGUGACCUGCCCUGCACUUCGGGAUAAGCCUGGGAAACUGGGUCUAAUACCGGAUAGGACCACGGGAUGCAUGUCCUGUGGUGGAAAGC